UUGUUUUGGUUUUUGUUUCAGUUUUUGUUUCCAUGGGCCAUUCCAGCACUUUCAGUUUAUGUUCUCUUUCAGAAAUUGACAAAACAGAAGAGGUUGUUGAUGAAAUGGAUGGCCUGGUUCAAGUCAGCUUUAUUAAAGUGUAACUCGAGAAACAGACUGAACCUUCUUCUGCCAAGGAAUCUGCCCUGCCCAGGCUUCAUCCUGGAGAAAAGAGGAGUUGUCACUGAAGGUUAUAAGCAACGGUGUCUGGAUGACUUACAACUUCUUACAGGUGAUAAAAAGAGAGCUGUCUGAGGACGGUGAAGGAGAUUACUGAGUGACUCCACAGAUAUGGGGCUAGUUGUGAAGGAAAAUGAUUCACUGGUGUCUGUGUGUGCAGACAAAAAGCCUCUUAAACAGAAGAGUCCAGAGAAAUAUAGUGGGAGGAGAAAUUACAGUGAAGAUUUUGUCAUCUUCAGAAAUAAUUGAUGUAGUUUCAGAUCUAUUAUUCACUAUUUGGUUGUAUCCAUACCUGGUAUUGAAAUAAAAACAUGACUCUUCAGUUGUGGUUGGA
Passer domesticus (house sparrow) is the source of this 553-nucleotide long non-coding RNA. RefSeq lists it as uncharacterized. Lineage: Eukaryota; Metazoa; Chordata; Aves; Passeriformes; Passeridae. The transcript is spliced from 4 exons. The record is from RefSeq and is a predicted model, not a curated record.